Molecule: ribosomal RNA, 630 nt
Filed under: uncultured eukaryote
Lineage: Eukaryota
Description: SSU rRNA
Rfam family: Eukaryotic small subunit ribosomal RNA
Source: RNAcentral
UUGCUGCAGUUAAAAAGCUCGUAGUUGAAAUUCUGCUCCGGCAGUUCAAUUUCCAAUAGGUUAUUGACACUCCGGGCAUCAGUCUGCAAUCUUUUUCACGGCAUUCACUUGUCGGGCUAGGGAGCAGACGCUUUACCUUGAGAAAAUUAGAGUGUUCCAGGCAGGCUUCAGCCCGAAUACAUUAGCAUGGAAUAAUAGAAUAGGACUAGAGACUAUUUAUUGGUUUAAGGCUCUAGUAAUGAUUAAUAGGAACAGUCGGGGGCAUUAGUACUUAACAGUCAGAGGUGAAAUUCUAGGAUUUGUUAAAGACUAACUAAUGCGAAAGCAUUUGCCAAGCAUGUUUUCAUUAAUCAAGAACGAAAGUUAGGGGAUCAAAGACGAUUAGAUACCGUCGUAGUCUUAACUAUAAACUAUACCGACUCGGAAUUGGACAAUUUCAAUAUAGAUUGUUCAGCGCCGUAAGAGAAAUCAAAGUCUUUGGGUUCUUGGUGGAGUACGAUCGCAAGAUUGAAACUUAAAGGAAUUGACGGUUUUGCACCACCAUGGAGUGGAGCCUGCGGCUUAAUUCGACUCAACACGGGAAAACUUAUCAGGGUAAAAAGGUAUUGGGAUUGACAGAUUGAGAGUUCU